Arvicanthis niloticus (Nile rat) is the source of this 396-nucleotide non-coding RNA. Lineage: Eukaryota; Metazoa; Chordata; Mammalia; Rodentia; Muridae. The record is from the annotation of a RefSeq genome assembly.
AUGGAGUUGGGGCUGACCUGGAUUUUACUUCUUGCUCUUUCAAAAGGUGUCCAGUGUGAGGUAAAGCUGGGGGAGUCCGGGGGAGGCUGGAUGCAGCCUGGAAGUUCCCUGAUACUCUCCUGUGCAGCUUCAGGAUUCACUUUUAGUGACUACUGGAUGCAUUGGGUCCGCCAGGCUCCAGGAAGGGGACUGAAAUGGGUUGCUGAAGUUGAAAACAAAGCUAAUAAUUAUGCAACACACUAUGCUGGAUCUGUGAAAGGCAGAUUCACCAUGUCAAGAGAUGAUUCCAAAGGUCAUGUCUAUCUCCAAAUGAACAGCAUAAGAGCAGAAGACACUGGCAUUUAUUACUGUACACAGCUAAGAGGGUUGGGAUCAUUUGAAUACUGGGGAAGAGGU